GACGAACGCUGGCGGCGUGCUUAACACAUGCAAGUCGAGCGGUAAGGCCCUUUCGGGGGUACACGAGCGGCGAACGGGUGAGUAACACGUGGGUGACCUGCCCUCAGCUCUGGGACAAGCCUGGGAAACCGGGGUCUAAUACUGGAUACGACUCCAUGACGCAUGUUGUGGGGUGGAAAGCCUUGUGCGGCUGAGGAUGGGCCCGCGGCCUAUCAGCUUGUUGGUGGGGUGAUGGCCUACCAAGGCGACGACGGGUAGCCGGCCUGAGAGGGCGACCGGCCACACUGGGACUGAGACACGGCCCAGACUCCUACGGGAGGCAGCAGUGGGGAAUCUUGCGCAAUGGGCGAAAGCCUGACGCAGCGACGCCGCGUGAGGGAUGACGGCCUCGG
RNAcentral lists this ribosomal RNA (392 nucleotides) under uncultured bacterium. RNAcentral's name for it is "bacterial SSU rRNA". It matches the Rfam family "Bacterial small subunit ribosomal RNA", at positions 28 to 420 of the family's 1533-position model. The record is from RNAcentral.